GAGUUUGAUCCUGGCUCAGGACGAACGCUGGCGGCGUGCCUAACACAUGCAAGUCGAACGGAACUGUUUUGAAAGAUUUCUUCGGAAUGAAUUUGAUUUAGUUUAGUGGCGGACGGGUGAGUAACGCGUGAGUAACCUGCCUUCAAGAGGGGGAUAACAUUCUGAAAAGAAUGCUAAUACCGCAUGAUAUAUCGGAACCACAUGGUUCUGAUAUCAAAGAUUUUAUCGCUUGAAGAUGGACUCGCGUCCGAUUAGUUAGUUGGUGAGGUAACGGCUCACCAAGACCGCGAUCGGUAGCCGGACUGAGAGGUUGAACGGCCACAUUGGGACUGAGACACGGCCCAGACUCCUACGGGAGGCAGCAGUGGGGGAUAUUGCGCAAUGGGGGCAACCCUGACGCAGCAACGCCGCGUGAAGGAUGAAGGUUUUCGGAUUGUAAACUUCUUUUAUUAAGGACGAAAAAUGACGGUACUUAAUGAAUAAGCUCCGGCUAACUACGUGCCAGCCGCCGCGGUAAUAC
RNAcentral lists this ribosomal RNA (520 nucleotides) under uncultured bacterium. RNAcentral describes it as "bacterial SSU rRNA". It matches the Rfam family "Bacterial small subunit ribosomal RNA", at positions 9 to 526 of the family's 1533-position model. The record is from RNAcentral.